GUAGGCGGCUUAAUAAGUGAAUAGUGAAAUCUGGUGGCUCAACCAUACAGACUAUUAUUCAAACUGUUAAGCUCGAGAAUGGUAGAGGUAACUGGAAUUUCUAGUGUAGGAGUGAAAUCCGUAGAUAUUAGAAGGAACACCAAUGCGUAGGCAGGUUACUGGACCAUUUCUGACGCUAAGGCACGAAAGCGUGGGGAGCGAACCGGAUUAGAUACCCGGGUAGUCCACGCCGUAAACGAUGGAUACUAGCUGUUGGAGGUAUCGACCCCUUCAGUAGCGAAGCUAACGCGUUAAGUAUCCCGCCUGUGGAGUACGGCCGCAAGGCUAAAACAUAAAGGAAUUGACGGGGACCCGCACAAGCGGUGGAUUAUGUUCUUUAAUUCGAUGAUAACCGAAGAACCUUACCAGGGUUUGAAAUCCCGAGAAUUAAUCCGAAAGGAUUGAGUGCUUUAUUGAACUCGGUGACAGAUGUUGCAUGGCCGUCGUCAGCUCGUGUCGUGAGAUGUUUGGUUAAGUCCAUCAACGAGCGCAACCCUCGUCAGUAGUUGUAUUUUUCUACUGAAACUGCCCCGGCAACGGGGAGGAAGGAGGGGAUGAUGUCAGGUCAGUAUUACUCUUACAUCCUGGGCUAGAAACGUAAUACAAUGGCUGGUACAAUGCGUCGCGAAGCCGCGAGGUGAAGCAAAUCGCAUCAAAGCCAGUCCCAGUUCGGAUUGGAGGCUGAAACUCGCCUCCAUGAAGUCGGAAUCGCUAGUAAUCGCAGAUCAGCAAGCUGCGGUGAAUACGUUCCCGGGUCUUGUACACACCGCCCGUCAAACCAUGAAGGUGACCAACACCCGAAGUCCGAUUCGUCGGCCUAAGGUGGGGGGCAUGAUUGGGGUU
This 882-nucleotide ribosomal RNA is filed under the name uncultured Candidatus Saccharibacteria bacterium. RNAcentral's name for it is "bacterial SSU rRNA". It matches the Rfam family "Bacterial small subunit ribosomal RNA", at positions 571 to 1482 of the family's 1533-position model. The record is from RNAcentral. Lineage: Bacteria; Candidatus Saccharimonadota.